This 95-nucleotide transfer RNA is filed under the name Colletotrichum cereale. Its description in RNAcentral is "tRNA-Ala". It matches the Rfam family "tRNA". From Rfam's summary of the family: Transfer RNA (tRNA) molecules are approximately 80 nucleotides in length. Their secondary structure includes four short double-helical elements and three loops (D, anti-codon, and T loops). Lineage: Eukaryota; Fungi; Ascomycota; Sordariomycetes; Glomerellales; Glomerellaceae. The record is from RNAcentral.
GGGCGCUUGGUCUAGGGGUAUGAUUUUCGCUUCGCACCUCCGUCUGGAACGCGCUCUUCUGUGAAAGGUCGUGGGUUCAAUUCCCACAGUGUCCA